This is a non-coding RNA of Podarcis lilfordi (Lilford's wall lizard), 94 nucleotides long. NCBI's taxonomy places the organism in Eukaryota, Metazoa, Chordata, Lepidosauria, Squamata, Lacertidae. The record is from the annotation of a GenBank genome assembly.
CUUCCAGUAGCACCUUAGAGACCAACUAAGUUUGUUAUUGGUAUGAGCUAUCGUGUGCAUGCACACUAAUUGGUCUCUAAGGUGCUACUGGAAG